UUGAACGCUGGCGGCAUGCUUUACACAUGCAAGUCGAACGGUAACAGCACUUCGGUGGCUGACGAGUGGCGAACGGGUGAGUAAUACAUCGGAACGUGCCUAGUAGUGGGGGAUAACUACUCGAAAGAGUAGCUAAUACCGCAUGAGAUCUAAGGAUGAAAGCAGGGGACCUUCGGGCCUUGCGCUACUAGAGCGGCUGAUGGCAGAUUAGGUAGUUGGUGGGAUAAAAGCUUACCAAGCCGACGAUCUGUAGCUGGUCUGAGGGGACGACCAGCCACACUGGGACUGAGACACGGCCCAGACUCCUACGGGAGGCAGCAGUGGGGAAUUUUGGACAAUGGGCGCAAGCCUGAUCCAGCAAUGCCGCGUGCAGGAUGAAGGCCUUCGGGUUGUAAACUGCUUUUGUACGGAACGAAAAGCCCUCUUCUAAUACAGGAGGGUCAUGACGGUACCGUAAGAAUAAGCACCGGCUAACUACGUG
Molecule: ribosomal RNA, 481 nt
Filed under: uncultured bacterium
Lineage: Bacteria
Description: partial 16S ribosomal RNA
Rfam family: Bacterial small subunit ribosomal RNA
Source: RNAcentral